Molecule: long non-coding RNA, 1031 nt
Filed under: Arachis ipaensis
Lineage: Eukaryota; Viridiplantae; Streptophyta; Magnoliopsida; Fabales; Fabaceae
Description: long non-coding RNA (AIPA_LNC000016)
Source: RNAcentral
AAAACUCCAUCAGCUGCAAUGUUAAAGCUUAGGAAGGAAAAUGGAAUUCACAUCUGAAUCUAUCAUCGAAGAAGAAAGAGGAAAAGGUCAAAUCACAUUGGAGCCAUGAAUCAAGCGUAAUCAGAAGGAAGAGGUAAAAGCUUUGCAUAGCUUAAAUCCUCCUUCCCUCUCUACAUACAUUUCGGAUAACAGCAAAAAAAGGAGGUCACUUCAAUCUGCUGUGAAUCAAUAGUUGAUAUUGAAAUUUGGGGGUAAAACACAAAAUUAAGGGUUUGAAUUUGGCAAAUAUUUUAGGCAACUCAUUUCAAUAAGCAUGCUGCUGCUCAUCUAUGCUGUGCUCUAAAUCCCUAAUUUCUGGUCUGAUUUAUUGAAAGAAAGAGAAGACUUAAAGCUGGUUCAAGAUUUAAGGAGUUGACUUAGCUCAGAAAAUCCUAACCUUGGCAAUCUUACUCCAUACAAAAAGACAAUCUGAAUCUCAAUUUGAAAGAGAGGAGAGAGCCCAAAGUUCAGAGUUUCAAAAGCACCAAACACACAUUUCGAGCUUCAAGUUUUAGGAUAGAAGGAUGCAUUUGAGAGUGCUAGAUUCGGGUUCAGAGUUCGAGCUGUUCAAUAUUGUCUCCUUCAUGGUUUAUUAUUGCAUAUUCAGUUUUCAGUUUGAAUAAAUUACUAUUUGUACCCACAAAAGAGAUACAGACGCUGACAAAUGUACUCAUAUAAGAAUAAAACGAUAAUUGUAACCACGGAAGAUGAUCUCCGUGUGCCAAGAGUAGCCAGACGUUGGUUACGUAAUUGGUCUGUUAAGGUAUACUCUUGGCAUACGAAAAUCAUCUUCCGUGGUUACAAUUGUCGUUUUAUUCUUAUAUAGGUAUAUUUGUCGACGUCUGUGUCUUUCAUCGAUACAAAUGGUAAUUUAUCCUUUCAGUUUUCUGUAUUAUCUUUCUGUGCUUUAGUUUUAAUGAAAAAUACCUAUAACUAUCUAAGUGAGGCAUUGAGAAAAAAAAAAAGGCAAAGAGAGAACACUUAUUGAGAAA